This is a long non-coding RNA of Strongylocentrotus purpuratus (purple sea urchin), 448 nucleotides long. RefSeq lists it as uncharacterized. NCBI's taxonomy places the organism in Eukaryota, Metazoa, Echinodermata, Echinoidea, Camarodonta, Strongylocentrotidae. The transcript has 4 exons. The record is from RefSeq and is a predicted model, not a curated record.
GAAAGAACAAUGGAAUAGAGAAAAGAGGGAAAGAGAAGAUAAGGAGUUUCAAGAAAAGAAAGCUAAAGCUAGACAAACAACUGAAGAAAACGAACGAAGAAGAAAGGAGAGAGAAGUUAAAGUCUUCAGAGAUAAUGCAGAUGAACGUGCCAGAAUUAAUGAGGCAUUUUUCAGAAGGCUAGAGGCCGGAAUGACACUUACACAGAAAUGAUGAUUAGGGGUGCCCCCCCCCCCUCCCAUUUCAGCAGCGCUCUCGACCAGUGGCGAAUCCACGUUUUCUCAGUGAGGGUGGUAAUUAGGGCCCUGUUUCAUAAAAACUUGUUAUCAAUAACAAGUUCCGAUAACUGUUAUAAGCUAAUGGGUAGCUGAUUUGCCAUACAAAUUUAGUAAAGAGAAAUUUAAUUGAUAACAAGUUUAAUGAAAAAGGAUCCAGGUUUAUGUGGGGAGC